UCGGGACACGUGCAGAGAGCGGAAGCCGGGAAUGGGAUCCCGGUGCAAGCGAGGUACCAGCCGCAUUGGAAAAACCGUGCGGCAAUGGGAAGACGUGAUGCGGAGUGAAGUUUAGUAAUGAAGUCCGUGAGCUGUGCGUCAAGGAAAGCCGCUAUUGUUCAUACCAUACCCGUACCGUAAACCGACACAGGUGGAUGAGGAGAGAAUCCUAAGGCCGGCGGAAGAAGCAUUGUCAAGGAACUCGGCAAAAUGACCCCGUAACUUCGGGAGAAGGGGUGCCUGCGAGAGCAGGCCGCAGAGAAUAGGCUCAAGCAACUGUUUAGCAAAAACACAGGUCUAUGCGAAACCGAAAGGUGAGGUAUAUGGGCUGACGCCUGCCCGGUGCUGGAAGGUUAAGAGGAGAGGUUAGCGGUAACGCGAAGCUUUGAAUUUAAGCCCCAGUAAACGGCGGCCGUAACGAUAACGGUCCUAAGGUAGCGAAAUUCCUUGUCGGGUAAGUUCCGACCCGCACGAAAGGCGUAAUGAUUUGAGCGCUGUCUCGACAAUGCAUCCGGUGAAAUUGAAGUACCAGUGAAGAUGCUGGUUACCUGCGCCAGGACGGAAAGACCCCAUGGAGCUUUACUCCAGUUUGGUACUGGGAUCCGGUACUGCAUGUACAGGAUAGGUGGGAGGCUGAGAAUCGGUAACGCCAGUUGCCGAGGAGCCGCUGUUGGGAUACCACCCUUGCAGUAUUGGGUUUCUAACCAGCCGCCGUGACCCGGCGGUGGGACAAUGCCAGACGGGGAGUUUGACUGGGGCGGUCGCCUCCGAAAGGGUAUCGGAGGCGCCCAAAGGUUCCCUCAGGAUGGACGGAAACCAUCCAAAGAGUGCAAAGGCAGAAGGGAGCUUGACUGCGACACCGACGGGUGGAGCAGGUACGAAAGUAGGGCUUAGUGAUCCGGUGGUAUUAAGUGGGAAUGCCAUCGCUCAACGGAUAAAAGCUACCCUGGGAUAACAGGCUUAUCACUCCCAAGAGUUCACAUCGACGGAGUGGUUUGGCACCUCGAUGUCGGCUCAUCGCAUCCUGGGGCUGUAGUAGGUCCCAAGGGUUGGGCUGUUCGCCCAUUAAAGCGGUACGCGAGCUGGGUUCAGAACGUCGUGAGACAGUUCGGUCCCUAUCCGGCGUGGGCGUAGGACAUCUGAGAGGAGCUGUCCUUAGUACGAGAGGACCGGGAUGGACGGGCCGCUGGUGCACCGGUUAGACUGCCAAGUCUAUAGCCGGGUAGCCAAGCCCGGAAGGGAUAAACGCUGAAGGCAUCUAAGCGUGAAGCCCCCCUCAAGAUGAGAUAUCCCAUCCGAAAGGAGUAAACCCCCUUGAAGACGACGAGGUUGAUAGGGCAGAGGUGGAAGUGUGGUAACACAUGGAGCUGACUGCUACUAAUAGGGUGAGGGCUUGAUC
RNAcentral lists this ribosomal RNA (1438 nucleotides) under metagenome. RNAcentral describes it as "bacterial LSU rRNA". It matches the Rfam family "Bacterial large subunit ribosomal RNA", at positions 1467 to 2925 of the family's 2925-position model. The record is from RNAcentral.